AUACGAAGGGCCCGAGCGUUAAUCGGAAUCACUGGGCUUAAAGCGUACGUAGGCGGACGCGCAGGCAUCUUGUGAAAUCCCUCGGCUCAACCGAGGAACUGCUUGGUGAACCGCGUGUCUUGAGGCAAGUAGGGGCUGUCGGAACGAUAGGUGGAGUGGUGAAAUGCGUUGAUAUCUAUCGGAACGCCGAAGGAGAAAUCAGGCAGCUGGGCUUGUUCUGACGCUGAGGUACGAAAGCGUGGGGAGCGAACGGGAUUAGAAACCCCAGUAGUCC
Molecule: ribosomal RNA, 274 nt
Filed under: uncultured bacterium
Lineage: Bacteria
Description: partial 16S ribosomal RNA
Rfam family: Bacterial small subunit ribosomal RNA
Source: RNAcentral